GGGUAAAAAAGGCCAAGAUGGUGUCAAAGGAGAAAAGGGAGAGAGUGGGGAGAAGGGACCGAAAGGUCUUUCAGGAAUCGCGGGUCUUCCAGGGCCCGUUGGACCAAAAGGAGACCAAGGCAUCCAUGGCUUCCCCGGUGCUCCAGCAAUGGGGGUUGUGGGACCUCCGGGCAAGAAAGGCAGCAGGG
Molecule: long non-coding RNA, 188 nt
Organism: Heteronotia binoei (common prickly gecko)
Lineage: Eukaryota; Metazoa; Chordata; Lepidosauria; Squamata; Gekkonidae
Exons: 5
Source: RefSeq, a predicted model, not a curated record